RNAcentral lists this unclassified non-coding RNA (649 nucleotides) under Pectobacterium carotovorum. Its description in RNAcentral is "partial 16S-23S ribosomal RNA intergenic spacer". It matches the Rfam family "Bacterial small subunit ribosomal RNA", at positions 789 to 1438 of the family's 1533-position model. Lineage: Bacteria; Pseudomonadati; Pseudomonadota; Gammaproteobacteria; Enterobacterales; Pectobacteriaceae. The record is from RNAcentral.
GGUAGUCCACGCUGUAAACGAUGUCGAUUUGGAGGUUGUGCCCUUGAGGCGUGGCUUCCGGAGCUAACGCGUUAAAUCGACCGCCUGGGGAGUACGGCCGCAAGGUUAAAACUCAAAUGAAUUGACGGGGGCCCGCACAAGCGGUGGAGCAUGUGGUUUAAUUCGAUGCAACGCGAAGAACCUUACCUACUCUUGACAUCCAGAGAAUUUAGCAGAGAUGCUUUGGUGCUUUCGGGAACUCUGAGACAGGUGCUGCAUGGCUGUCGUCAGCUCGUGUUGUGAAAUGUUGGGUUAAGUCCCGCAACGAGCGCAACCCUUAUCCUUUGUUGCCAGCGGUUCGGCCGGGAACUCAAAGGAGACUGCCAGUGAUAAACUGGAGGAAGGUGGGGAUGACGUCAAGUCAUCAUGGCCCUUACGAGUAGGGCUACACACGUGCUACAAUGGCGUAUACAAAGAGAAGCGACCUCGCGAGAGCAAGCGGACCUCAUAAAGUACGUCGUAGUCCGGAUUGGAGUCUGCAACUCGACUCCAUGAAGUCGGAAUCGCUAGUAAUCGUAGAUCAGAAUGCUACGGUGAAUACGUUCCCGGGCCUUGUACACACCGCCCGUCACACCAUGGGAGUGGGUUGCAAAAGAAGUAGGUAGCUUAA